CAGUCGCCGCGGGAAUAUGAAGGGGGCUAGCGUUGUUCGGAAUUACUGGGCGUAAAGCGCACGUAGGCGGAUAUUUAAGUCAGGGGUGAAAUCCCAGAGCUCAACUCUGGAACGGCCUUUGAUACUGGGUAUCUUGAGUAUGGAAGAGGUGAGUGGAAUUCCGAGUGUAGAGGUGAAAUUCGUAGAUAUUCGGAGGACCACCAGUGGCGAAGGCGGCUCACUGGUCCAUUACUGACGCUGAGGUGCGAAAGCGUGGGGAGCAAACAGGAUUAGAUACCCCAGUAGUCCCUGUCUCUUAUAA
This 301-nucleotide ribosomal RNA is filed under the name uncultured bacterium. RNAcentral describes it as "partial 16S ribosomal RNA". It matches the Rfam family "Bacterial small subunit ribosomal RNA", at positions 509 to 809 of the family's 1533-position model. The record is from RNAcentral.